This 228-nucleotide ribosomal RNA is filed under the name uncultured soil bacterium. RNAcentral's name for it is "partial 16S ribosomal RNA". It matches the Rfam family "Bacterial small subunit ribosomal RNA", at positions 26 to 258 of the family's 1533-position model. The record is from RNAcentral.
AGAUUGAACGCUAGCGGGAUGCUUUACACAUGCAAGUCGAACGGCAGCGCGGACUUCGGUCUGGCGGCGAGUGGCGAACGGGUGAGUAAUAUAUCGGAACGUGCCCAGUAGCGGGGGAUAACUACGCGAAAGCGUGGCUAAUACCGCAUACGCCCUACGGGGGAAAGGGGGGAUCGCAAGACCUCUCACUAUUGGAGCGGCCGAUAUCAGAUUAGCUAGUGGUGAGGU